UGGAUCCAGGGGAUUCUGGACGAAUAUUACCAACAGCUGCAGUCGCCGCAGGACGAGAGCUUCCUCCCCGAGGUCAUCAACAUCUUCCUCCACCAUGCCGACAGGAUGCUCAACGACAUCACCAGCCUUCUGAACCUGCCCGUUGUGGACUUCGACGUGGUGCGCGAACUGGUGCAUCAGCUCAAGGGGACCAGCUGCAGUGUUGCUGCUAAGAAAGUUAACCUUUCAUGUGUGCACUUCUGCCAAUUCUACGAGGCAAAGUGCAAAGAAGGGUGCCGCAUGGCAUUGAAUCUUCUUAGGAAUGAGUUCUAUGAUGUGCGUGACAAGCUAGAGACCAUUAUGCAGUUGGAGCAGCAGAUUGUAGCCUUGGGUCCUAAGUAG
RNAcentral lists this ribosomal RNA (381 nucleotides) under Triticum aestivum (bread wheat). Its description in RNAcentral is "partial small subunit ribosomal RNA". The record is from RNAcentral. Lineage: Eukaryota; Viridiplantae; Streptophyta; Magnoliopsida; Poales; Poaceae.